RNAcentral lists this ribosomal RNA (449 nucleotides) under uncultured bacterium. RNAcentral describes it as "bacterial SSU rRNA". It matches the Rfam family "Bacterial small subunit ribosomal RNA", at positions 29 to 523 of the family's 1533-position model. The record is from RNAcentral.
AGCGAACGCUGGCGGCAGGCUUAACACAUGCAAGUCGAGCGCCGUAGCAAUACGGAGCGGCAGACGGGUGAGUAACACGUGGGAACGUGCCUUUUGGUUCGGAACAACACAGGGAAACUUGUGCUAAUACCGGAUAAGCCCUUACGGGGAAAGAUUUAUCGCCAAAAGAUCGGCCCGCGUCUGAUUAGCUAGUUGGUGGGGUAAUGGCCCACCAAGGCGACGAUCAGUAGCUGGUCUGAGAGGAUGAUCAGCCACACUGGGACUGAGACACGGCCCAGACUCCUACGGGAGGCAGCAGUGGGGAAUAUUGGACAAUGGGGGAAACCCUGAUCCAGCCAUGCCGCGUGAGUGAUGAAGGCCUUAGGGUUGUAAAGCUCUUUCGUCGGGGAAGAUAAUGACGGUACCCGAAGAAGAAGCCCCGGCUAACUUCGUGCCAGCCGCCGCCGUAA